Molecule: ribosomal RNA, 927 nt
Filed under: uncultured bacterium
Lineage: Bacteria
Description: bacterial SSU rRNA
Rfam family: Bacterial small subunit ribosomal RNA
Source: RNAcentral
CAUGCAAGUCGAGCGGGGAAAGGUAGCUUGCUACCUAACCUAGCGGCGGACGGGUGAGUAAUGCUUAGGAAUCUGCCUAUUAGUGGGGGACAACAUUCCGAAAGGAAUGCUAAUACUGCAUACGUCCUACGGGAGAAAGCAGGGGACCUUCGGGCCUUGCGCUAAUAGAUGAGCCUAAGUCGGAUUAGCUAGUUGGUGGGGUAAAGGCCUACCAAGGCGACGAUCUGUAGCGGGUCUGAGAGGAUGAUCCGCCACACUGGGACUGAGACACGGCCCAGACUCCUACGGGAGGCAGCAGUGGGGAAUAUUGGACAAUGGGGGGAACCCUGAUCCAGCCAUGCCGCGUGUGUGAAGAAGGCCUUUUGGUUGUAAAGCACUUUAAGCGAGGAGGAGGCUACUAGUAUUAAUACUACUGGAUAGUGGACGUUACUCGCAGAAUAAGCACCGGCUAACUCUGUGCCAGCAGCCGCGGUAAUACAGAGGGUGCGAGCGUUAAUCGGAUUUACUGGGCGUAAAGCGUGCGCAGGCGGCUUUUUAAGUCGGAUGUGAAAUCCCUGAGCUUAACUUAGGAAUUGCAUUCGAUACUGGGGAAGCUAGAGUAUGGGAGAGGAUGGUAGAAUUCCAGGUGUAGCGGUGAAAUGCGUAGAGAUCUGGAGGAAUACCGAUGGCGAAGGCAGCCAUCUGGCCUAAUACUGACGCUGAGGUACGAAAGCAUGGGGAGCAAACAGGAUUAGAUACCCUGGUAGUCCAUGCCGUAAACGAUGUCUACUAGCCGUUGGGCCUUUGAGCUUUAUGGCGCGCUAACGCGAUAAGUAGACGCUGGGGAGUACGUCGCAGACUAACUCAAUGAAUGACGGGGCCGCACAGCGGUGGAGCAUGUGGUAAUCGGAUGCACGCGAGACCGUACUGUCUUGACAUAGUAAGAAC